This is a transfer RNA of 73 nucleotides. It matches the Rfam family "tRNA". Rfam says of the family: Transfer RNA (tRNA) molecules are approximately 80 nucleotides in length. Their secondary structure includes four short double-helical elements and three loops (D, anti-codon, and T loops). Further hydrogen bonds mediate the characteristic L-shaped molecular structure. tRNAs have two regions of fundamental functional importance: the anti-codon, which is responsible for specific mRNA codon recognition, and the 3' end, to which the tRNAs corresponding amino acid is attached (by aminoacyl-tRNA synthetases). tRNAs cope with the degeneracy of the genetic code in two manners: having more than one tRNA (with a specific anti-codon) for a particular amino acid; and 'wobble' base-pairing, i.e. permitting non-standard base-pairing at the 3rd anti-codon position. The record is from Rfam.
GCCUCUGUAACAUAGUGGUUAAUGUAGUCGCCUUUUAAGCGAAAAGUCGUGAGUUCGAAUCUCACCAGGGGCA